This 497-nucleotide ribosomal RNA is filed under the name uncultured bacterium. Its description in RNAcentral is "partial 16S ribosomal RNA". It matches the Rfam family "Bacterial small subunit ribosomal RNA", at positions 28 to 507 of the family's 1533-position model. The record is from RNAcentral.
GAUGAACGCUGGCGGCGUGCCUAAUACAUGCAAGUCGAGCGAACGGACGAGAAGCUUGCUUCUCUGAUGUUAGCGGCGGACGGGUGAGUAACACGUGGAUCACCUACCUAUAAGACUGGGAUCACUUCGGGAAACCGGAGCUAAUACCGGAUAAUAUUUUGAACCGCAGGGUUCAAAAGUGAAAGACGGUCUUGCUGUCACUUAUCGAUGGAUCCGCGCUGCAUUAGCUAGUUGUUACGGUAACGGCCUACCAAGGCAACGAUGCAUAGCCGACCUGAGAGGGGGAUAGGCCACACUGGAACGUAGACAGGGUCCAUGCUCCUAAGAGAGGCAGCAGUAGGGAAUCGUACGCAAUGGGCGAAAGCCUGACGGAGCAACGCCGCGUGAGUGAUGAAGGUCUUCGGAGCGUAAAACUCUGUUAUUAGGGAAGAACAGAUGUGUAAGUAACCGUGCACAGCUUGACGGUACCUAAUCAGAAAGCCACGGCUAACUACGUG